AUUGAACGCUAGCGAUAGGCUUAACACAUGCAAGUCGAGGGGCAGCAUAGAGAUAGUUUACUAUUUCUGAUGGCGACCGGCGCACGGGUGAGUAACGCGUAUGCAAUCUACCUCAUACAAAGGGAUAGCCCGGAGAAAUUCGGAUUAAUACCAUAUAGUACUAGCAGAUCGCAUGAUUUGUUAUUUAAAGAUUUAUCGGUAUGAGAUGAGCAUGCGUUCCAUUAGCUUGUUGGUAAGGUAACGGCUUACCAAGGCAACGAUGGAUAGGGGAACUGAGAGGCUGAUCGGCCACACUGGGACUGAGACACGGCCCAGACUCCUACGGGAGGCAGCAGUGGGGAAUAUUGGGCAAUGGGCGCAAGCCUGACCCAGCAACGCCGCGUGAAGGAAGAAGGUC
Molecule: ribosomal RNA, 397 nt
Filed under: uncultured Bacteroidota bacterium
Lineage: Bacteria; Pseudomonadati; Bacteroidota
Description: bacterial SSU rRNA
Rfam family: Bacterial small subunit ribosomal RNA
Source: RNAcentral